Molecule: ribosomal RNA, 253 nt
Filed under: uncultured bacterium
Lineage: Bacteria
Description: partial 16S ribosomal RNA
Rfam family: Bacterial small subunit ribosomal RNA
Source: RNAcentral
UACGUAGGGGGCAAGCGUUGUCCGGAAUUAUUGGGCGUAAAGAGCGCGUAGGCGGUCCGGUAAGUCGGUUGUGAAAGUCGGGGGCUCAACCCUCGGAUGCCGAUCGAUACUGUCGGGCUAGAGUCCGGAAGAGGCGAGUGGAAUUCCUGGUGUAGCGGUGAAAUGCGCAGAUAUCAGGAGGAACACCAAUGGCGAAGGCAGCUCGCUGGAACGGUACUGACGCUGAGGCGCGAAAGCGUGGGGAGCGAACAGG